UACAUUUUAUAGGAGUUGAACCUAUGACUUUUAGCUUAGAAGGCUAUUGCUCUAUCCACUGAGCUAAAAAUGU
This 73-nucleotide transfer RNA is filed under the name Melosira undulata. Its description in RNAcentral is "tRNA-Arg". Lineage: Eukaryota; Bacillariophyta; Melosirophyceae; Melosirales; Melosiraceae. The record is from RNAcentral.